This 569-nucleotide ribosomal RNA is filed under the name Starmera pachycereana. Its description in RNAcentral is "eukaryotic LSU rRNA". It matches the Rfam family "Eukaryotic large subunit ribosomal RNA", at positions 62 to 648 of the family's 3401-position model. The record is from RNAcentral. Lineage: Eukaryota; Fungi; Ascomycota; Saccharomycetes; Phaffomycetales; Phaffomycetaceae.
AAACCAACAGGGAUUGCCUUAGUAACGGCGAGUGAAGCGGCAAAAGCUCAAAUUUGAAAUCUGGUAGUUUCACUGCCCGAGUUGUAAUUUGAAGAACGGUUCUUGUAGCGCGGCCUUUGUCUAUGUUCCUUGGAACAGGACGUCACAGAGGGUGAGAAUCCCGUGAGAUGGGGGCAGCGCUGCUUGUAGGGCCAGUUCGACGAGUCGAGUUGUUUGGGAAUGCAGCUCUAAGUGGGUGGUAAAUUCCAUCUAAAGCUAAAUAUUGGCGAGAGACCGAUAGCGAACAAGUACAGUGAUGGAAAGAUGAAAAGAACUUUGAAAAGAGAGUGAAAAAGUACGUGAAAUUGUUGAAAGGGAAGGGCAUUUGAUCAGACUUGGUGGGGGAGUACUGGCGUCCACUUGUUGGGCGUUUACUGCUGCUCUGCUGGGCCAGCAUCGAUUCGUGUGGCAGGACAACCGGCUGGGAACGUGGCUGCAUUUUUGCAGUGUUAUAGCCCAUCCUUCUGCUGCCUACAUGGAUCGAGGACUGCGUCUUUGACUAGGAUGCUGGCGUAAUGAUCUAAUGCCGC